UGAACCUGCGGAGGGAUCAUUACAGAGACUCUGCCCUUUGGGUAGACCUCCCACCCUGUGUCGUUAUACCUUCGUUGCUUUGGCGGGCCGCGGGGCCCCGGCCCCGCCCCUGGCUCCGGCUAGGGCGCGCCCGCCAGAGGACCUCAAAACCUGAAUGUUAGUGUCGUCUGAGUACUAUAUAAUAGUUAAAACUUUCAACAACGGAUCUCUUGGUUCUGGCAUCGAUGAAGAACGCAGCGAAAUGCGAUAAGUAAUGUGAAUUGCAGAAUUCAGUGAAUCAUCGAAUCUUUGAACGCACAUUGCGCCCCUUGGUAUUCCGGGGGGCAUGCCUGUUCGAGCGUCAUUACAACCCUCAAGCUCUGCUUGGUCUUGGGCGUCACCGGUCCCGGUGUGCCUUAAAAUCAGUGGCGGCGCCAUCUGGCUCUAAGCGUAGUACAUACUCUCGCUACAGACGUCCGGUGGAUGCUGGCCAGCAACCCCCAACUUAUCAAGGUUGACCUCGGAUCAGGUAGGGAUACCCGCUGAACUUAAGCAUAUCA
RNAcentral lists this ribosomal RNA (539 nucleotides) under Pezicula ericae. Its description in RNAcentral is "eukaryotic LSU rRNA". The stretch from base 190 to 343 matches the Rfam family "5.8S ribosomal RNA". The record is from RNAcentral. Lineage: Eukaryota; Fungi; Ascomycota; Leotiomycetes; Helotiales; Dermateaceae.